RNAcentral lists this ribosomal RNA (152 nucleotides) under Clostridiaceae bacterium. Its description in RNAcentral is "partial 16S ribosomal RNA". It matches the Rfam family "Bacterial small subunit ribosomal RNA", at positions 1 to 135 of the family's 1533-position model. Lineage: Bacteria; Bacillati; Bacillota; Clostridia; Eubacteriales; Clostridiaceae. The record is from RNAcentral.
ACAUGAGAGUUUGAUCCUGGCUCAGGAUGAACGCUGGCGGCGUGCUUAACACAUGCAAGUCGAACGGGGGCCAUCAGGCGGAAGUCUUCGGACGGAAGCUUUUUGACCCGAGUGGCGGACGGGUGAGUAACACGUGAGUAACCUGCCUUAUG